CCUAAUUCUAUGUCCUUUAUCACAUGUAGAUUCCUGUAACUGUCAUUGUGAUCAAGAUACAGAAAUGUCCCUCCCCACAAAGAGGCCCCUCGUGCUGCCGUUCACAGUCAUGAUCACCCAGCCCUCCACUAUUUGGAACCCCUGGUCCUGGUAGGAAGAAGGGAAUCCCACUUCUUGAUCACAACCACUUGGGACUUCGUCUUAGUAGCAGGUCACUGGGGACGGAGUGGGAAUCGCUGAAGCUCAGCAUCUCCUGGGAGAAAGGCCUCCGAACGCGAGCUGGGGAGAGGAAGGGCUGUGUGCUAGCUGCAGAAGUCUGGGGUGGAGUCUCUCUCUUGCUGAGCAGGGCUGCUGGAAUCAGGUCAGUGGAAGUCCUUGUGCCGCCAUGCUGGAAGUCAGUCUCCUACAGUAUAUGUUCUUGACUUAUCAAAGCCUGUUUGGCACUUUUACUCUCUCCCUGGAC
RNAcentral lists this long non-coding RNA (463 nucleotides) under Equus caballus (horse). Its description in RNAcentral is "lncRNA (ENSECAG00000058101.1)". Lineage: Eukaryota; Metazoa; Chordata; Mammalia; Perissodactyla; Equidae. The record is from RNAcentral.